GUGCAAGACGGGUACGGGGAUUAGGGUUCGAUUCCGGAGAGGGAGCCUGAGAAACGGCUACCACAUCCAAGGAAGGCAGCAGGCGCGCAAAUUACCCAAUCCCGAUACGGGGAGGUAGUGACAAUAAAUAACAAUACAGGGCUCUUAUGGGUCUUGUAAUUGGAAUGAGUACAAUUUAAAUCCCUUAACGAGGAACAAUUGGAGGGCAAGUCUGGUGCCAGCAGCCGCGGUAAUUCCAGCUCCAAUAGCGUAUAUUAAAGUUGUUGCAGUUAAAAAGCUCGUAGUUGAAUUUCGGAGUUCUACCGUUGGUCGGGCAAUAGUCUGUACUGGCGUGUGGAAUUUCUACCUUCUGGGGAACCAUCAUGUUAUUUAUUUAGCGUGGUGGGAAACCAGGACCUUUACCUUGAAAAAAUUAGAGUGUUCAAAGCAGGCUUACGUCUGAAUACAUUAGCAUGGAAUAAUAAAAUAGGACGGUGGUCCUGUUUUGUUGGUUUCUGAAUCACCGUAAUGAUUAAUAGGGAUAGUUGGGGGCAUUAGUAUUCAAUUGUCAGAGGUGAAAUUCUUGGAUUUAUUGAAGACUAACUUCUGCGAAAGCAUUUGCCAAGGAUGUUUUCAUUAAUCAAGAACGAAAGUUAGGGGAUCGAAGACGAUCAGAUACCGUCGUAGUCUUAACCAUAAACUAUGCCGACUAGGGAUCGGACGAUGUUAAUUUUUCUUGACUCGUUCGGCGCCUUACGGGAACCAAAGGUUUUGUGGGUUCAAAUUUGG
This 768-nucleotide ribosomal RNA is filed under the name Gigaspora margarita. Its description in RNAcentral is "SSU rRNA". It matches the Rfam family "Eukaryotic small subunit ribosomal RNA", at positions 348 to 1116 of the family's 1831-position model. The record is from RNAcentral. Lineage: Eukaryota; Fungi; Glomeromycota; Glomeromycetes; Diversisporales; Gigasporaceae.